Molecule: ribosomal RNA, 371 nt
Filed under: uncultured bacterium
Lineage: Bacteria
Description: bacterial SSU rRNA
Rfam family: Bacterial small subunit ribosomal RNA
Source: RNAcentral
GGGGGGGGCAAGCGUUGUUCGGAAUUACUGGGSGUAAAGGGCUUGUAGGUGGCCAACUAAGUCAGACGUGAAAUCCCUCGGCUUAACCGGGGAACUGCGUCUGAUACUGGAUGGCCGGAGUUUGGGAGAGGGAUGCGGAAUUCCAGGUGUAGCGGUGAAAUGCGUAGAUAUCUGGAGGAACACCGGUGGCGAAGGCGGCAUCCUGGACCAACACUGACACUGAAAAGCGAAAGCCAGGGGAGCAAACGGGAUUAGAUACCCCGGUAGUCCUGGCCCUAAACGAUGAAUGCUUGGUGUGGCGGGUAUCGAUCCCUGCCGUGCCGAAGCUAACGCAUUAAGCAUUCCGCCUGGGGAGUACGGUCGCWWKWMWG